RNAcentral lists this ribosomal RNA (316 nucleotides) under Agromyces sp. 1708b. Its description in RNAcentral is "bacterial SSU rRNA". It matches the Rfam family "Bacterial small subunit ribosomal RNA", at positions 1103 to 1417 of the family's 1533-position model. The record is from RNAcentral. Lineage: Bacteria; Bacillati; Actinomycetota; Actinomycetes; Micrococcales; Microbacteriaceae.
CCUCGUCGCAUGUGGCCAGCACGUUAUGGUGGGGACUCAUGUGAGACUGCCGGGGUCAACUCGGAGGAAGGUGGGGAUGUACGUCAAAUCAUCAUGCCCCUUAUGUCUUGGGCUUCACGCAUGCUACAAUGGCCGGUACAAAGGGCUGCGAUGUCGUAAGGCGGAGCGAAUCCCAAAAACCCGGUCUCAGUCCGGAUUGAGGUCUGCAGCUCGACCUCAUGAAGUCGGAGUCGCUAGUAAUCGCAGAUCAGCAACGCUGCGGUGAAUACGUUCCCGGGCCUGGUACACACCGCCCGUCCGUCAUGAAAACGGUAGC